RNAcentral lists this signal recognition particle RNA (267 nucleotides) under Gottschalkia purinilytica. Its description in RNAcentral is "Clostridium purinilyticum Bacterial large signal recognition particle RNA". It matches the Rfam family "Bacterial large signal recognition particle RNA". Rfam says of the family: The signal recognition particle (SRP) is a universally conserved ribonucleoprotein involved in the co-translational targeting of proteins to membranes. Archaeal SRP consists of a 7S RNA and homologues of the eukaryotic SRP19 and SRP54 proteins. In most bacteria, the SRP consists of a 4.5S RNA and the Ffh protein (a homologue of the eukaryotic SRP54 protein). The record is from Rfam by way of RNAcentral. Lineage: Bacteria; Bacillati; Bacillota; Tissierellia; Tissierellales; Gottschalkiaceae.
CCAUGCUAGAUGGGGAGGUAGCGGUGCCCUGUAACCUGCAAUCCGCUAUAGCAGGAUUGAAUUCCUAGCUGAGGCAUGAUUAUUGUAGGGUCUGCCCUAGACAAGUGGCGUUGACGAUCGGGUCCUACGCAACAGGAGCCCAUGAACUCCGUCAGAUCCGGAAGGAAGCAGCGGUAAGUGGUUACUUCUUGUGUGCCGUAGGGUUGCCUGGUUUGAGUUAACUAUUUAGGUAACGCUUAUGGGAUCAUGUCGAAGCUAGGUGCAUGG